Molecule: ribosomal RNA, 570 nt
Filed under: Triticum aestivum (bread wheat)
Lineage: Eukaryota; Viridiplantae; Streptophyta; Magnoliopsida; Poales; Poaceae
Description: partial small subunit ribosomal RNA
Source: RNAcentral
AUGCGUGCUAAAAAAGAUUGCUUAAUAAAAGCAUGUUCUUCUAGUUUUCAUGAUAAUAAGGAUGAAGAUCUAAAAGUGAUUGAUGUGUCCCCUAUAAAAUAUUUGUUUUGCAAUAUGAAUCUUGAUAAUGAUGGGACUGGAGAUGAGUCAACUUUAGUUAGAAGGCGUCCCAAAAAUUCGGAGUUUUUAGAUCUUGAUGCAAAAAUUGAUAAAAGUGGGAUUGAAGAGGUCAAAACUUUAGAUAGCAACGAACCCACUAUCUUGGAUUUCAAGGAAUUUAAUUAUGAUAAUUGCUCUUUGAUAGAUUGUAUUUCCUUGUUGCAAUCCGUGCUAAAUUCUCCUCAUGCUUAUAGUCAAAAUAAAGCUUUUACUAAACGUAUCGUUGAUGCUUUGAUGCAAUCUUAUGAAGAAAAACUUGAGUUGGAAGUUUCUAUCCCUAGAAAACUUUAUGAUGAGUGGGAACCUACAAUUAAGAUAAAAAUUAAAGAUCAUAAAUGCUAUGCUUUGUGUGAUUUGGGUGCUAGUGUUUCCACGAUCCCAAAAACUUUGUGUGAUUUGCUAGGUUCAUGA